GAUGAGUUCUCCCUGAGACUAUAAGUCUCCUGAAGGAACGUUGAAGACGACGACGUUGAUAGGUCGGGUGUGUAAGCGUAGCGAUACGUUGAGCUAACCGAUACUAAUGAACCGUGAGGCUUAACCUUACAACGCCGAAG
RNAcentral lists this ribosomal RNA (140 nucleotides) under Citrobacter freundii. RNAcentral's name for it is "partial 23S ribosomal RNA". It matches the Rfam family "Bacterial large subunit ribosomal RNA", at positions 2803 to 2925 of the family's 2925-position model. Lineage: Bacteria; Pseudomonadati; Pseudomonadota; Gammaproteobacteria; Enterobacterales; Enterobacteriaceae. The record is from RNAcentral.